This 38-nucleotide transfer RNA is filed under the name Kandelia candel. Its description in RNAcentral is "partial trnF". The record is from RNAcentral. RNAcentral also lists the same sequence under 16 other names. Lineage: Eukaryota; Viridiplantae; Streptophyta; Magnoliopsida; Malpighiales; Rhizophoraceae.
CGGGAUAGCUCAGCUGGUAGAGCAGAGGACUGAAAAUC